GUAGGUGGUUUGUNGCGUCGUCUGUGAAAUUCCGGGGCUUAACUUCGGGGUGGCAGGCGAUACGGGCAUAACUAGAGUGCUGUAGGGGAGACUGGAAUUCCUGGUGUAGCGGUGGAAUGCGCAGAUAUCAGGAGGAACACCGAUGGUGAAGGCAGGUCUCUGGGCAGUAACUGACGCUGAGGAGCGAAAGCAUGGGGAGCGAACAGGAUUAGAUACCCUGGUAGUCCAUGCUGUAAACGGUGGGCGUUAGGUGUGGGGACCGGUUUGGUUUCUGUGCCGUAGCUAACGCAUUAAGCGCCCCGCCUGGGGAGUACGGCCGCAAGGCUAAAACUCAAAGGAAUUGACGGGGGCCCGCACAAGCGGCGGAGCAUGUGGAUUAAUUCGAUGCAACGCGAAGAACCUUACCUGGGUUUGACAUGCACCAGACGGUUGUAGAGAUACGUACCUCCCUUUGUGGUUGGUGUGCAGGUGGUGCAUGGUUGUCGUCAGCUCGUGUCGUGAGAUGUUGGGUUAAGUCCCGCAACGAGCGCAACCCUUGUCUUAUGUUGCCAGCACUUUGGGUGGGGACUCAUGAGAGACUGCCGGGGUUAACUCGGAGGAAGGUGGGGAUGACGUCAAAUCAUCAUGCCCUUUAUGCCCAGGGCUUCACACAUGCUACAAUGGUUAGUACAACGCGCUGCAAACCUGUGAGGGUGAGCGAAUCGCUGAAAGCUAAUCUCAGUUCGGAUUGGGGUCUGCAACUCGACCCCAUGAAGUCGGAGUCGCUAGUAAUCGCAGAUCAGCAAUGCUGCGGUGAAUACGUUCCCGGGCCUUGUACACACAGCCCGUCACGUCAU
RNAcentral lists this ribosomal RNA (836 nucleotides) under uncultured bacterium. RNAcentral describes it as "bacterial SSU rRNA". It matches the Rfam family "Bacterial small subunit ribosomal RNA", at positions 571 to 1405 of the family's 1533-position model. The record is from RNAcentral.